AUACGAAGGGGGCUAGCGUUGUUCGGAAUUACUGGGCGUAAAGCGCACGUAGGCGGAUAUUUAAGUCAGGGGUGAAAUCCCAGAGCUCAACUCUGGAACUGCCUUUGAUACUGGGUAUCUUGAGUAUGGAAGAGGUAAGUGGAAUUCCGAGUGUAGAGGUGAAAUUCGUAGAUAUUCGGAGGAACACCAGUGGCGAAGGCGGCUUACUGGUCCACUACUGACGCUGAGGCGCGAAAGCGUGGGGAGCAAACAGGAUUAGAAACCCUAGUAGUCC
RNAcentral lists this ribosomal RNA (274 nucleotides) under uncultured bacterium. Its description in RNAcentral is "partial 16S ribosomal RNA". It matches the Rfam family "Bacterial small subunit ribosomal RNA", at positions 523 to 796 of the family's 1533-position model. The record is from RNAcentral.